RNAcentral lists this ribosomal RNA (439 nucleotides) under Streptococcus sp. oral taxon C14. RNAcentral's name for it is "bacterial SSU rRNA". It matches the Rfam family "Bacterial small subunit ribosomal RNA", at positions 30 to 462 of the family's 1533-position model. The record is from RNAcentral. Lineage: Bacteria; Bacillati; Bacillota; Bacilli; Lactobacillales; Streptococcaceae.
AUUGAACGCUGGCGGCAGGCUUAACACAUGCAAGUCGAACGGUAACAUAAAGAAGCUUGCUUCUUUUGAUGACGAGUGGCGGACGGGUGAGUAAUGCUUGGGAAUCUAGCUUAUGGAGGGGGAUAACUACGGGAAACUGUAGCUAAUACCGCGUAAUAUCGAGAGAUUAAAGUGUGGGACCUUCGGGCCACAUGCCAUAAGAUGAGCCCAAGUGGGAUUAGGUAGUUGGUGAGGUAAAGGCUCACCAAGCCGACGAUCUCUAGCUGGUCUGAGAGGAUGACCAGCCACACUGGGACUGAGACACGGCCCAGACUCCUACGGGAGGCAGCAGUGGGGAAUAUUGCGCAAUGGGGGCAACCCUGACGCAGCCAUGCCGCGUGAAUGAAGAAGGCCUUCGGGUUGUAAAGUUCUUUCGGUAGUGAGGAAGGCAUUUAGUUUA